Ribosomal RNA from Scophthalmus maximus (turbot), 109 nucleotides. The record is from Ensembl. NCBI's taxonomy places the organism in Eukaryota, Metazoa, Chordata, Actinopteri, Pleuronectiformes, Scophthalmidae.
GCUUACGGCCACACCGCCUGGUUCACGCCCGAUCUCGAAAGCUAACAUAGGUUGGGCCUGGUUAGUACUUGGAUGGGAGACCGCCUGGGAAUACCAGGUGCUGUAAGCU